Long non-coding RNA from Drosophila obscura, 972 nucleotides. RefSeq lists it as uncharacterized. The record is from RefSeq and is a predicted model, not a curated record. NCBI's taxonomy places the organism in Eukaryota, Metazoa, Arthropoda, Insecta, Diptera, Drosophilidae. The transcript is spliced from 4 exons.
AUAUUUGCCGAAAUAUAUUUAAUAAUGUUUUUAUAAUACGAAUAUUGAAUUUAAAUAGUUUAAAAAACGCUCCUGCCGCUUUCACUGCUAAUCGUCCAGAAACGCCGAUGGAGCACCCUUCUUUUUCUUGGAUUUCGACUGUCCCGCCUUAGUUUUUGCUUCUGGCUUUUUUCCUGCCUUGACGGCUGCGUUCGGUGUGCAACGAACACGAGCAGAAGGUGUUUUGGUCUUCUUGCCCUUUCGUUGCUUGCUAUUCUUGCCCGGCAGCGGACCCUUUGCCUUCACACAACUUAGUGUCUGGCUGUGCGUGUAGCUGGGCCGCCAUCAAAGUCCAUAAUUCACUUUCGCUGUAAUUUUGUUUGUUUUGAUUGGUAUAUUUGCCGAAAUAUAUUUAAUAAUGUUUUUAUAAUACGAAUAUUGAAUUUAAAUAGUUUAAAAAACGCUCCUGCCGCUUUCACUGCUAAUCGUCCAGAAACGCCGAUGGAGCACCCUUCUUUUUCUUGGAUUUCGACUGUCCCGCCUUAGUUUUUGCUUCUGGCUUUUUUCCUGCCUUGACGGCUGCGUUCGGUGUGCAACGAACACGAGCAGAAGGUGUUUUGGUCUUCUUGCCCUUUCGUUGCUUGCUAUUCUUGCCCGGCAGCGGACCCUUUGCCUUCACACAACUUAGUGUCAGGCUGUACGUGUAGCUGGGCCGCCAUCAAAGUCCAUAAUUCACUUUCGCUGUAAUUUUGUUUGUUUUGAUUGGUAUAUUUGCCGAAAUAUAUUUAAUAAUGUUUUUAUAAUACGAAUAUUGAAUUUAAAUAGUUUAAAAAACGCUCCUGCCGCUUUCACUGCUAAUCGUCCAGAAACGCCGAUGGAGCACCCUUCUUUUUCUUGGAUUUCGACUGUCCCGCCUUAGUUUUUGCUUCUGGCUUUUUUCCUGCCUUGACGGCUGCGUUCGGUGUGCAACGAACACGAGCAGAAGGUGUUUUG